Molecule: ribosomal RNA, 257 nt
Filed under: uncultured bacterium
Lineage: Bacteria
Description: partial 16S ribosomal RNA
Rfam family: Bacterial small subunit ribosomal RNA
Source: RNAcentral
ACUCCUACGGGAGGCAGCAGUGGGGAAUCUUAGACAAUGGGGAAACCCGUAGCAUCUAGCCAUGCCGCGUGGACGAUGAAGGCCUUAGGGUUGUAAAGUCCUUUCAGCUGGGAAGAUAAUGACGGUACCAGCAGAAGAAGCCCGCGUACAUCCGUGCCAGCAGCCGCGGUAAUACGGAGGGGCGUAGCGUUGUUCGGAAUUACUGGGCGUAAAGCGCACGUAGGCGGACUAUUAAGUCAGGGGUGAAAUCCCGGGGC